AAGCAAACAAGGAACCGAUUCUUUGCUUUCUGUGCUCUUGAGACUUUAAAUAUUUCUCCCCAUCUCAGUUUUGGUGGGAGAUGGGAGGGUAUUACAAGCUAUAAUGCAAUCAUUUGGAUGCUUAACUGCAGACGAGAAGAAUUGGGAAUGCUUUGUAAAAUUUCCCAAAAGAGUGAAAUGCUCUGUCAGGGGUCCAAUGCCCCCAUCCUCUGCUUGGACAAACAUCUCUGUCCAGCUGGGGCUGCCACAACGGACCAGACGGAGGAUGUUUUGGCUUCGGCUUCUUUACCAUGCUACUUGGAAGGUCAGAGUGAAGAAAAGCUUUAAUAAGCACCAGUAAAGCGUUACACAUGGCGCUGUUCGGAAGACAGAUAUGGUUCCUGACCUGCGGGGCCCGGGUUCUAAAACACACAGGGACAGCCAUGUCUAGAUUUCAUGUGAGUUUUUCUUUUCCCUUUUGGGGGGUUAGCACCGGGGAAGUAUUGCAUUCUAGCUGAUUAGGAACCACAAGUCUAAAUUUCAAUUCUGGGCUGAAUAGUAAUUUUUCCUGAAGGUUUGAAUAAAUCAUCCAAUCUGCUUCAGUUUCAACUAUUUUCAGCAUUUCUAUUUUAAUCAUUAAUUUUGGCUGCUUAGGACCCCGGAGUCACCAAGCCGGCAUGUGACUUAAUUUGGGAUGGGAAUGAGGCAGGAGGUGGAAGAUGCACUGAGAACUGAACAGGAGAAAAUGGGCUUGAGCUCCAGUCUGAAAGAUUUGGGCCGAAUGCAGGGAUAUUUUCUUGUUAGUGACGAUGGCAAUUUUUGGGGUUUGCUCUCACAAGGCAGAUUAUAGAAUCGGCACAACUGUAAUUUUGGUAAAGAUAGGAGAGAUUCUCAUGUAAGGAAGAUAGUUUAAUUUUCAUUCUGAUUUGACUGCAAGGUGAUGAGCCGGAUCAACUUUCUAUUCAGGUAAAUCAUAACACCUUAAGACAAUAAGAAGUGCAUAUAAUCCAUCCUGCUCCCUUUUCACUUUGAAUGCCAGGAAGCUCAAAGCUAACUAUACUGUUGAGUUAAAAUUAAUAUUAGCCUCCGAUACUGUUUCAGUUAUCUAUUGCUGUGAACAAAUUACCCCCAGACUUAGUGGCUCACAACAACAAUUUAUUUAUACCUUUCACAGUUCAGUAAGUUGACCGGACUCAGCUGGGCAGUCCUUGCUUGAGGACUCUCACACAGUUUCUGACGGAUGGUGGCUGAGGUAGGAGUCACCUAAGGCUCAGCUGCCAUAAACGUUCAAGAUGGUUUCUCAGUCACAUGUCUGGCAGCUGGGCUGAGACAGCCAGAACAUCUAGAGGCUGGCUGAGCUUCUCUCUCUCCCUCCACACGGCUAGCGUGGGCUUUCUCACAGCAUGCUGGGCAGUCGCAGCUCACACCUGGCGGCUGGCUUCCCCCAGGUGGAAAACGGGGGAAUAUACCCCGCCAGGUUAUAAUGGGAGAUGUGGUCCAUGGCUGGGGUCAUGCUGCCACAGGUAUUUAUAAACUUUCUCUAUUUUUCUCGGUCUUAUAAGGCAUGUAUCUUUCUUUGUGAGCCUUUUUUGGAGGUAGGCAAGUAGGAAAAAUACAGUCAAGUGCUGCAUAACGACGUUUCAGUUAACGACGGCCCGCAUAUGUAAGGGUGGUCCCAUAAGAUCAGUACCAUCUCGCCUAGGUGUGAAGUAGGCUAUAUCAUCUAGGUUUGUGCAAGUACACUCUGUGAUGUUUGCACAACGACAAAAUCAUUAAGUGACGCAUGACUGUGCACACAGUGGUUUCCUCUUGUCUAAGGCUUGACAGUUUACCAUGCACCGUCACCUAUGCUACCUUCCCUGACCUCCAGAACACCAUGUAAAGGGGCAGAUCUGCAACUGUAGCCCAUUUUUACAGAUGUGGAGACUGAGGUUCAAAAAGGAUUGGUAACCUGCCCAAGGUAACACAGCUAGGAAGUGGUGGGCCGGGCCCUGGACAGGUGUGUCUGAUACAACAAUCCAUGUUCUCAGGCAGCUGCUGAAGCCCUGACAGAGACCCAAGUCGAAAACCCAGGAGGGGCUCCCCGACAUGCCACACAACACCUGCUUGCCUCUCCAUCACCCCCAAUCACAGCGGAAGUUUAGUGCCAUGGUCUGAGCACGAGUCCUUGAGCAAAAUGGCCUGAAUCCGAACGGGCUCUGCCACUUCCUGGCCAUGUUCCUGGUUUCUUUCAAAUGACUCAGUUUCUUCAUCUGUAAAAUGAGACUGCUGCUGAUGUCAUGAGGAAUACACAAAUUAUUUAUUAAGAGGACCCUGGUCUAGCUUCCCCUUCUCUAGGCCUUAUUUGAUUUAUAAGGACCUUACCAAGCAUCCAUACAAGUACAGCUGAUCUGGACAUUUCAUUUUACUCGAUAUUACUGGAAGGACUAAAAGCCCUAAGUCGAUGUUAAUGCCUGCCUGAGGAUCACAAUUUCGGCUGCAGGAUGCAGUUAUAAAAUACUGUCAGGACUUGGAGACACAAAUCGCUUUCCGCAAGCUCUCACGUGCACUCACAUUCUCUCUUCAAUUAUUUACACUGACAUUCUCGCCCUCGGUCCCCGGUUGCUCUCUCCUCUCACUCUCUGUCCCAAGUGGACCUGCACAUUCACACUCAACUUCUUUCCACUCCAGUCCUUCACGUAUAUGUUCUCAACACGCGCACCCAAAGAUAGCCUUCCACUUACACAUACAUGUCCUUGACCUUCUGUGUCCCAGGGCACCUUCCUUCCUCAGAGCCUCAGUAUACAGAUAUUUCUGUGCUCACGGAGCCUGAGAUGCACCCCCUCCCAUUCCAGGUCCCCCAAAGAUGGCAGGAGAAGUUUUUGCAGCCAUGCCCAGUGAGGAGGUUCUGGACACCUGGCUGCACCUGCCCACGGGUGUUCAGCUCACAAAGCUCUUCAUCAGUGAUCCGAGGGGGCCACUGAGUGGAUUCCCCUGCUGCCCACUGGACACGGCACAAACAGCCUGCAUGGGAUCCAGAGAGCUUAUGAUAGCUGCUGCCUAAGGGGGCAAGUGCUCCUGACCUGGGAGGAGGCUGGGCUAAGGGAAGCUGCCAGCUUUUUCCCAGCUCAGGGUGGGGUGAGAAUCGAGCUGAAUAUGCACCUAUUCAGAAGGGCAAAGAGCCAAAAAUAACUAGGAGCAAUAGCGUUUCAUCUGACAGGCCCAGAAAUAGAGCUCAUUUCGGAGCAUGCCAGGGCUACAGACGAGGGAUUCCGAGACCUCAGCAUUCCCGGAGAAACACAUGGAAAAACUCCCAGGUUACACAAGCAUUUCCAUCCCCUCUUCACUACAGCUUCUCAAAGCAAGAGCUCCGUGGCCCACAGGAACAGAGUCUGCAGAGUCAGAGACUUGAGGGGGUCUGGGGACCAGGACUCAAGGACGCUAUCUGGUGGAAUGCCCCAAGGAAGGAAGAAAUAGGAAGUUAACUGGUCAAUAAGGAGAAUGCAAAACAGAACAGAGUCAGGACAUGGAUUUAGAGAAGGUAAUGCUUAGGCAUCGUGAGAAAAAUGGAGGUACUGAACAUUAACGAUGGCGUGCGUGCAGGAUUUAGAUAAAGCCUGAAGGUCAUCCUUGGCAGAGAAAAAGGCCAAGGUUUUCCAGUUGGGAUGGGGAGUGUGCUGCCUGCCAGCCGUCUUCUCUUCUAUUUUUGUUUUCUUCUAUUUUGAUGUAAAAGGCAAAUGUCACAGUUCAUUUGUCUUUAUUCUGAAUAUCUGAAAUUGCAGAAGGAAAGGAG
This 3751-nucleotide long non-coding RNA is filed under the name Equus asinus (donkey). RNAcentral's name for it is "lncRNA (ENSEASG00005036550.1)". Lineage: Eukaryota; Metazoa; Chordata; Mammalia; Perissodactyla; Equidae. The record is from RNAcentral.